UACGGAGGGGGCUAGCGUUGCUCGGAAUUACUGGGCGUAAAGGGCGCGUAGGCGGCCUUGUAAGUCAGGCGUGAAAGGCCCGGGCUCAACCCGGGAACUGCGCUUGAGACUGCGAGGCUCGAGUUCGGGAGAGGGCAGUGGAAUUCCCAGUGUAGAGGUGAAAUUCGUAGAUAUUGGGAAGAACACCAGUGGCGAAGGCGGCUGCCUGGACCGAUACUGACGCUAAGGCGCGAAAGCGUGGGGAGCAAACAGG
This 253-nucleotide ribosomal RNA is filed under the name uncultured bacterium. RNAcentral's name for it is "partial 16S ribosomal RNA". It matches the Rfam family "Bacterial small subunit ribosomal RNA", at positions 524 to 776 of the family's 1533-position model. The record is from RNAcentral.